This 254-nucleotide ribosomal RNA is filed under the name uncultured bacterium. RNAcentral's name for it is "partial 16S ribosomal RNA". It matches the Rfam family "Bacterial small subunit ribosomal RNA", at positions 524 to 776 of the family's 1533-position model. The record is from RNAcentral.
GACGUAGGGUCCAAGCGUUGUCCGGAUUUACUGGGCGUAAAGAGCGCGUAGGCGGUCUGUUAAGUGUAGAGUGAAAUCUCCAGGGCUCAACCCGGAAACUGCUCUGCAUACUGGCAGACUGGAGUGAUGCAUAGGUUUGUGGAAUUCCUGGUGUAACGGUGAAAUGUGUUGAUAUCAGGAGGAACACCCAUGGCGAAGGCAGCAAACUGGGCAUUAACUGACGCUGAGGCGCGAAAGCGUGGGUAGCAAACAGG